Triticum aestivum (bread wheat) is the source of this 115-nucleotide non-coding RNA. NCBI's taxonomy places the organism in Eukaryota, Viridiplantae, Streptophyta, Magnoliopsida, Poales, Poaceae. The record is from Rfam.
AUGGUACUCCCUCCAUUUCGAAUUACUCGUCGCAGAAAUGGAUGUAUCUAGAUGUAUUUUAGUUCUAGAUACAUCCGUUUCUGAGACGAGUAAUUUUGAACAGAGGGAGUAGUAG